RNAcentral lists this ribosomal RNA (518 nucleotides) under uncultured Streptomyces sp. RNAcentral describes it as "bacterial SSU rRNA". It matches the Rfam family "Bacterial small subunit ribosomal RNA", at positions 144 to 675 of the family's 1533-position model. The record is from RNAcentral. Lineage: Bacteria; Bacillati; Actinomycetota; Actinomycetes; Kitasatosporales; Streptomycetaceae.
CAAGCCCUGGAAACGGGGUCUAAUACCGGAUAUUGACCUUCACGGGCAUCUGUGAGGUUCGAAAGCUCCGGCGGUGCAGGAUGAGCCCGCGGCCUAUCAGCUUGUUGGUGAGGUAAUGGCUCACCAAGGCGACGACGGGUAGCCGGCCUGAGAGGGCGACCGGCCACACUGGGACUGAGACACGGCCCAGACUCCUACGGGAGGCCGCAGUGGGGAAUAUUGCACAAUGGGCGAAAGCCUGAUGCAGCGACGCCGCGUGAGGGAUGACGGCCUUCGGGUUGUAAACCUCUUUCAGCAGGGAAGAAGCGAAAGUGACGGUACCUGCAGAAGAAGCGCCGGCUAACUACGUGCCAGCAGCCGCGGUAAUACGUAGGGCGCAAGCGUUGUCCGGAAUUAUUGGGCGUAAAGAGCUCGUAGGCGGCUUGUCACGUCGGUUGUGAAAGCCCGGGGCUUAACCCCGGGUCUGCAGUCGAUACGGGCAGGCUAGAGUUCGGUAGGGGAGAUCGGAAUUCCUGGUG